AUUGAACGCUGGCGGCAGGCCUAACACAUGCAAGUCGAGCGGAUGAAGGGAGCUUGCUCCUGGAUUCAGCGGCGGACAGGUGAGUAAUGCCUAGGAAUCUGCCUGGUAGUGGGGGAUAACGUCCGGAAACGGGCGCUAAUACCGCAUACGUCCUGAGGGAGAAAGUGGGGGAUCUUCGGACCUCACGCUAUCAGAUGAGCCUAGGUCGGAUUAGCUAGUUGGUGGGGUAAAGGCCUACCAAGGCGACGAUCCGUAACUGGUCUGAGAGGAUGAUCAGUCACACUGGAACUGAGACACGGUCCUGACUCCUACGGGAGGCAGCAGUGGGGAAUAUUGGACAAUGGGCGAAAGCCUGAUCCAGCCAUGCCGCGUGUGUGAAGAAGGUCUUCGGAUUGUAAAGCACUUUAAGUUGGGAGGAAGGGCAGUAAGUUAAUACCUUGCUGUUUUGACGUUACCAACAGAAUAAGCACCGGCUAACUUCGUG
Molecule: ribosomal RNA, 484 nt
Filed under: uncultured bacterium
Lineage: Bacteria
Description: partial 16S ribosomal RNA
Rfam family: Bacterial small subunit ribosomal RNA
Source: RNAcentral